This 405-nucleotide ribosomal RNA is filed under the name uncultured bacterium. RNAcentral's name for it is "bacterial SSU rRNA". It matches the Rfam family "Bacterial small subunit ribosomal RNA", at positions 28 to 433 of the family's 1533-position model. The record is from RNAcentral.
GAUGAACGCUAGCGGGAGGCCUAAUACAUGCAAGUCGAACGGUAAGGUCCCUUCGGGGAUACACGAGUGGCGGACGGGUGCGUAACGCGUACGAACAUACCUUCAACAGGGAGAUACCUCCGGGAAACUGGAAAUAAUACCCCAUAGUAUUGAGUAUAUCGCAUGAUAUUUCAAUUAAAGCUUUGGCGGUUGAAGAUUGUCGUGCGUCUGAUUAGCUAGUUGGUGAGGUAACGGCUCACCAAGGCGACGAUCAGUAGCUGGUCUGAGAGGAUGAUCAGCCACACUGGAACUGAGACACGGUCCAGACUCCUACGGGAGGCAGCAGUAGGGAAUAUUGGACAAUGGGCGGAAGCCUGAUCCAGCCGAUCCGCGUGUAGGAUAAGGCCCUAUGGGUUGUAAACGUAC